ACCCGUGUAGCUCAGUCGGUAGAGCGCUGGCCUUUUAAGCCAGUGGUCGUGGGUUCGAGCCCCACGGGGGGUG
This 73-nucleotide transfer RNA is filed under the name Phytophthora infestans T30-4. It matches the Rfam family "tRNA". From Rfam's summary of the family: Transfer RNA (tRNA) molecules are approximately 80 nucleotides in length. Their secondary structure includes four short double-helical elements and three loops (D, anti-codon, and T loops). Lineage: Eukaryota; Oomycota; Peronosporomycetes; Peronosporales; Peronosporaceae. The record is from Rfam by way of RNAcentral.